AAUUCUCAAACCUUUUAUUAUUUAUUUAAUAAGAGGAUUUGGAUGUGGAAGCUUUGCGGGCCUCUAACGAGGUCGGCUCUUCUUAAAUGUAUUAGCGAGGACCUUUAUCUUUAUUUAUAAUGGCCUUGGUGUGAUAAUUAUCUACGCCAAUUGGCUUUUUAAGAUAUAUGUGGGCUUGGCUCUCUAAUUGUCUUCUUUCAUGAGGACAAUUUUGACAC
This 218-nucleotide unclassified non-coding RNA is filed under the name uncultured Agaricales. RNAcentral's name for it is "sequence contains ITS2". The record is from RNAcentral. Lineage: Eukaryota; Fungi; Basidiomycota; Agaricomycetes; Agaricales.